UACACAUGCAAGUCGAACGGCAGCGCGGGGGCAACCCUGGCGGCGAGUGGCGAACGGGUGAGUAAUACAUCGGAACGUGUCCUGGAGUGGGGGAUAGCCCGGCGAAAGCCGGAUUAAUACCGCAUACGCUCUGUGGAGGAAAGCGGGGGAUCUUCGGACCUCGCGCUCAAGGGGCGGCCGAUGGCAGAUUAGCUAGUUGGUGGGGUAAAGGCCUACCAAGGCGACGAUCUGUAGCUGGUCUGAGAGGACGACCAGCCACACUGGGACUGAGACACGGCCCAGACUCCUACGGGAGGCAGCAGUGGGGAAUUUUGGACAAUGGGGGCAACCCUGAUCCAGCAAUGCCGCGUGUGUGAAGAAGGCCUUCGGGUUGUAAAGUACUUUUGUCCGGAAAGAAAACCGCUUCUCUAAUACAGGGGCGGGAUGACGGUACCGGAAGAAUAAGCACCGGCUAACUACGUGCCAGCAGCCGCGGUAAUACGUAGGGUGCAAGCGUUAAUCGGAAUUACUGGGCGUAAAGCGUGCGCAGGCGGUUCGCUAAGACCGAUGUGAAAUCCCCGGGCUUAACCUGGGAACUGCAUUGGUGACUGGCGGGCUAGAGUAUGGCAGAGGGGGGUAGAAUUCCACGUGUAGCAGUGAAAUGCGUAGAGAUGUGGAGGAAUACCGAUGGUGAAGGCAGCCCCCUGGGCCAAUACUGACGCUCAUGCACGAAAGCGUGGGGAGCAAACAGGAUUAGAUACCCUGGUAGUCCACGCCCUAAACGAUGUCAACUAGUUGUCGGGUCUUCAUUGACUUGGUAACGAAGCUAACGCGUGAAGUUGACCGCC
Molecule: ribosomal RNA, 827 nt
Filed under: uncultured bacterium
Lineage: Bacteria
Description: bacterial SSU rRNA
Rfam family: Bacterial small subunit ribosomal RNA
Source: RNAcentral